This 493-nucleotide ribosomal RNA is filed under the name Odobenus rosmarus (walrus). RNAcentral's name for it is "partial 12S ribosomal RNA". It matches the Rfam family "Bacterial small subunit ribosomal RNA", at positions 848 to 1527 of the family's 1533-position model. The record is from RNAcentral. Lineage: Eukaryota; Metazoa; Chordata; Mammalia; Carnivora; Odobenidae.
AAUUUACACAACAAAAUUACUCGCCAGAGAACUACUAGCAACAGCUUAAAACUCAAAGGACUUGGCGGUGCUUCACAUCCCUCUAGAGGAGCCUGUUCUAUAAUCGAUAAACCCCGAUAAACCUCACCAUCCCUUGCUAAUUCAGUCUAUAUACCGCCAUCUUCAGCAAACCCUUAAAAGGAAAGAAAGUAAGCAUAAUCAUCACACGUAAAAAAGUUAGGUCAAGGUGUAACCCAUGGGAUGGAAAGAAAUGGGCUACAUUUUCUAAGUAAGAACAGCCAUACAAAAGUUUUUAUGAAAUUAAUAACUGAAGGUGGAUUUAGUAGUAAAUUAAGAAUAGAGAGCUUAAUUGAACUGGGCCAUGAAGCACGCACACACCGCCCGUCACCCUCCUCAAACAACACCUCAAACAUACAUAAAUAUGUACAAAAUAUAUCUAGAGGAGAUAAGUCGCUAACAAGGUAAGCGUACUGGAAAGUGUGCUUGGAUUGAC